This 671-nucleotide ribosomal RNA is filed under the name Bacillus safensis. RNAcentral describes it as "bacterial SSU rRNA". It matches the Rfam family "Bacterial small subunit ribosomal RNA", at positions 46 to 703 of the family's 1533-position model. Lineage: Bacteria; Bacillati; Bacillota; Bacilli; Caryophanales; Bacillaceae. The record is from RNAcentral.
GCUAUAAUGCAAGUCGAGCGGACAGAAGGGAGCUUGCUCCCGGAUGUUAGCGGCGGACGGGUGAGUAACACGUGGGUAACCUGCCUGUAAGACUGGGAUAACUCCGGGAAACCGGAGCUAAUACCGGAUAGUUCCUUGAACCGCAUGGUUCAAGGAUGAAAGACGGUUUCGGCUGUCACUUACAGAUGGACCCGCGGCGCAUUAGCUAGUUGGUGGGGUAAUGGCUCACCAAGGCGACGAUGCGUAGCCGACCUGAGAGGGUGAUCGGCCACACUGGGACUGAGACACGGCCCAGACUCCUACGGGAGGCAGCAGUAGGGAAUCUUCCGCAAUGGACGAAAGUCUGACGGAGCAACGCCGCGUGAGUGAUGAAGGUUUUCGGAUCGUAAAGCUCUGUUGUUAGGGAAGAACAAGUGCGAGAGUAACUGCUCGCACCUUGACGGUACCUAACCAGAAAGCCACGGCUAACUACGUGCCAGCAGCCGCGGUAAUACGUAGGUGGCAAGCGUUGUCCGGAAUUAUUGGGCGUAAAGGGCUCGCAGGCGGUUUCUUAAGUCUGAUGUGAAAGCCCCCGGCUCAACCGGGGAGGGUCAUUGGAAACUGGGAAACUUGAGUGCAGAAGAGGAGAGUGGAAUUCCACGUGUAGCGGUGAAAUGCGUAGAGAUGUGGAG